UACGUAGGGGGCAAGCGUUGUCCGGAUUUAUUGGGCGUAAAGAGCGUGUAGGCGGCUUGGUAGGUCCAUUGUGAAAACUCGAGGCUCAACCUCGAGACGCCGGUGGAAACCAUCAGGCUAGAGUCCGGAAGAGGAGAGUGGAAUUCCUGGUGUAGCGGUGAAAUGCGCAGAGUAUCAGGAAGAACACCCGUGGCUAAGGCGGCUCUCUAGUACGGUACUGACGCUGAGACGCGAAAGCGUGGGGAGCGAACAGG
RNAcentral lists this ribosomal RNA (254 nucleotides) under uncultured bacterium. RNAcentral describes it as "partial 16S ribosomal RNA". It matches the Rfam family "Bacterial small subunit ribosomal RNA", at positions 524 to 776 of the family's 1533-position model. The record is from RNAcentral.